Molecule: long non-coding RNA, 434 nt
Filed under: Lupinus angustifolius (narrow-leaved blue lupine)
Lineage: Eukaryota; Viridiplantae; Streptophyta; Magnoliopsida; Fabales; Fabaceae
Description: long non-coding RNA (LANG_LNC000178)
Source: RNAcentral
CAACCACAUUUCUUCCCCGAAAAGAAAAUUUAGACUGAUAUUUGUCGGGCCAAGAAAAUUUAGACUGAUAUUGUAGGGCUCAGAAAAUUUAGACUGAUAUUGUGGGGCUCAGAAAAUUUAGACUGAUAUUGUAGGGCAACCACAUUACUUCCCCGAAAAGAAAAUUUAGACUGUAGGGCUCAGAAAAGUUAGACUGAUAUUGUAGGGCUCAGAAACUUUAGACUGAUAUUGUAGGGCUUUACCCCAAAGGGAGCCCUAUUGUAGGGCUAGGGCUCAGAAACUUUAGACUGAUAUUGUAGGGCUUUACCCCAAAGGGAGCCCUUCCAGAAAUUCUCGAAGGCCAAGGCUGAACCCAGGCCUAAGAGGGGGUUUGGAAAUAGUUUUCAACCAGCAAUAGACGCGCCUCGGUUAGAACCUCAUUAGCUGCGUCAUUG